RNAcentral lists this ribosomal RNA (696 nucleotides) under Triticum aestivum (bread wheat). RNAcentral describes it as "partial small subunit ribosomal RNA". Lineage: Eukaryota; Viridiplantae; Streptophyta; Magnoliopsida; Poales; Poaceae. The record is from RNAcentral.
AUGCUGGCCCACAUCGCGUGGCCAGCUAUCCCUUUCUCAAAGCACUGGCCGUCAGGGCACAGGCCCAUACGCCUCCUGCUGCUCCUUUCUCCAGUUCGUCUUCCUCCUCUGGAUCGAGACCUUGGAGCCUGCUCCAUGGACCUGUCCAUGGAAACGGAGGGCGAUUCCGAACAUAGGAUUAGCCGCGGGCAUGCGGGCAAUACUGGUGCUGCCCGGCCUAUAGAGUCCCAGGAUUCUAUCAGCGUCGCCGAGGCUGACAUUCGCCGUGCAGGGGACCUCCGUAGCGGUGGCGGAGAUGCCGGAUUUCUUGGCGAGGACUCGCUCUUGCAAGUUUGUUCGGAGGCUACGAGCGGAUGGACACGCAGGGUAAGGAUCAGAAAGGCCCCCGCUGAGCGCGAGCUCAACCCGAACCGGAAAAGUGCCCUUGAAUUGUCCAUGAGGGCUUUCAUAUUGAAAAGAGAUGGCAAUGUUGUCAACCCAGCUGUCGGGACCUCUUUUGAUUCAUUGGAUGAAGCCUAUCAAUUCUACAAUUUAUAUUCGUGGGAGCUUGGAUUUGGUAUAAGGUAUUCGAAAAGCAGGCUAAAUGUGGAGCGGGUGAAGUGCAUGCAGGAGAUAGUCUGUGGAUGUGCGGGUAAACCGGAGAGGGAGAAUACAAGAUCAACAUGGAAAGGCAGCUUUUUGCACGUCGGGACGUGA